GACGAACGCUGGCGGCGCGCUUAACACAUGCAAGUCGAGCGAAGCGGCGGACGGGUGAGUAACACGUGAGUAACCUGCAUUAGACAUUGGGAUAGCCUCGGGAAACCGGGAUUAAUACAAAAUGGUCUAAGAUGGACUCGCUUCCCAUUAGCUAGAUGGUGAGGUAACGGCACAACAAGGCGACGAUGGGUAGCCGGCCGGAGAUGGUGAACGGCCACAUUGGACCUGAGAAACGGUCCAAACUCUACGGGAGGCAGCAGUGGGGAAUAUUGCACAAUGGAGGGAACGCUGAUGCAGUGACGCCGCGUGAACGAAGAAGGCUUUCGAGUCGUAAAGUUCUGUUAUAUGGGAAGCGGUACCAUAAGAAAAAGCCCCGGCUAACUACGUGCCAGCAGCCGCGGUAAUUC
This 407-nucleotide ribosomal RNA is filed under the name uncultured bacterium. Its description in RNAcentral is "partial 16S ribosomal RNA". It matches the Rfam family "Bacterial small subunit ribosomal RNA", at positions 28 to 526 of the family's 1533-position model. The record is from RNAcentral.